CCUACGGGUGGCAGCAGUGAGGAAUAUUGGUCAAUGGGCGCGAGCCUGAACCAGCCAAGUAGCGUGAAGGAUGACUGCCCUACGGGUUGUAAACUUCUUUUAUAAAGGAAUAAAGUGAGGCACGUGUGCCUUUUUGUAUGUACUUUAUGAAUAAGGAUCGGCUAACUCCGUGCCAGCAGCCGCGGUAAUACGGAGGAUCCGAGCGUUAUCCGGAUUUAUUGGGUUUAAAGGGAGCGUAGAUGGGUUGUUAAGUCAGUUGUUAAAGUUUGCGGCUCAACCGUAAAAUUGAAAUUGAUAAUGGCCGCAUUUAGGACAGGUGAGGUAGGGGGAAUUCGUGGU
Molecule: ribosomal RNA, 339 nt
Filed under: uncultured bacterium
Lineage: Bacteria
Description: partial 16S ribosomal RNA
Rfam family: Bacterial small subunit ribosomal RNA
Source: RNAcentral